This is a long non-coding RNA of Catharus ustulatus (Swainson's thrush), 1624 nucleotides long. RefSeq lists it as uncharacterized. The transcript is spliced from 3 exons. Lineage: Eukaryota; Metazoa; Chordata; Aves; Passeriformes; Turdidae. The record is from RefSeq and is a predicted model, not a curated record.
UUUAUCUCUAAAUGAAAUCUCCCUGUACGCUAAUACAGAGAAUGAGCAAAGUUCUUUUCCAACCUAACUGAUUCUCUAUGAUUCUAUGAUCCUAGAAGAUAUAUCUUUGGUAUCCUUUAUUAGAAAUUUGCCUUUGUUAAGUAACUGACUUGUAUUCGUUGGUUCUGACUCACUUGCAACAAAUUUCUUGGCAUAUAUUUUAUUUUUUCUCUCUUAAGAGUAUGAUUUCUUUCUUCAUAACUUUGAGGGUUUGACCCCAUGCGUUUCUCAGAACAAAUGUUCAAGGUAAGUUCUGUUGAUGAUUGCUGUCAUCCCAUGCAAAAUCCAGACUUAGUCACCACCUUCCUAAAUCUCUACAAGUGUACAGCAUCUGGAUUUCACCUGCCUGAUGCAAACACAAACAAAAUAAAAUACUGGAAUGCAUGUAUCCAUUGGAAAGAAGUUGCUCUGUUUCAUGUAGUUUGUGCCAAAUGAACACCAUGUUAUGGAUCACUGCAAAGCACAGCUGUGAAGCGGAGUUUUUGGGCUAUGGAAUCUCCUAUGCUGCAGGUAUGGAAUUGAUCCCGUUUUGAGAGAGGUGUAAGACUGGAUAGCCACUUGAGGUUUCUUCUCCUGCAUUGCUUUUAUUGAUUCUUCUACAGUCCAAUAAAAAUUGGUAUCAUAUAAACAUCUGUGAGAAGAGAAGCUAGAACAGCAGGGCAAGAAUGAUAAUCACAAUAAAGAUUGCUAAAGGAAUUAAGGUCUCCUACCAUAGCUCAACUGCCUGAGAAGAAAAUAAGUGACUAUGCUUUUUUGCUUUAGAGACAUAAGGAAAGAAACAAGAAAAAAUAUGGAAAAGAAAAAAAACCUGACUUAUCCAAGUAGCAUUAAUAAUCCAUUUUAUUUCACCAGACAGAUUCAAAUUUCUUUUAAAAGUAGUAUAUUUUUCCCAUGAAGAACAGUGGUGUAGAUAUGGUGAGAAUGUGCAUUGUGCUUGCUAUUCAAAAAGUGCCUUAAUAAAUUAAAUUUAUAAAUGAAAGAAAGAACCACUACAACGCCUCUCAGGUGGAUUCCCCAUAAAUCUUAGGCUGUCACAUAUGAGCCACAUGCUUACCCUCUGCAAGAGACCUCAGAAUAUUCAUGAAAGGUAUAGUAUUUUGAAUUAUUCAUCAAAACCUUUAACAUUUUACAUUUGGUGAAAGAAUGUUACUUGAACACUCUGUUCAUGACUUAUUUUUCAGGAAUUCCAAAACAUGAAAUAGUUUGAAGAACUUCAGAAAUGUGAACAUCCUAAUUGGCUGCAGGAUGUUUUAUUACAUUUGCACUGUUCAAGGCAAAUUUGGAGCAUGUGGUUUGCAGCUGCUGAACUGUGUUCAGAGUUCUGCAAGAUAUCACUUUGGAUUCCUACUUGUAUCAUUUAUGUGUUUAAAUCCAAAAGAAGGAGGAAAAGUGGCAAAGAGUGAAAAAUAAAGCCGCGGUGGGGAAAGAACAUGCCAUGGACGCCUUUUGCCAUCAAGCAUGAUCAUCCCAGGAAUUUAUCUAAGCCUUACAGACUGGAAAAUAGAGUGGUUACACAAAGGGUGUAUAAUUUUUUCAACUUUUCAGAAAAAAAUGAAGAUUCAGUUCAAUAAAAAUACUAAUAUUA